RNAcentral lists this long non-coding RNA (570 nucleotides) under Homo sapiens (human). RNAcentral's name for it is "HSALNT0288269". The record is from RNAcentral. Lineage: Eukaryota; Metazoa; Chordata; Mammalia; Primates; Hominidae.
CACAAUGCCCCCGGUAAGCAGAUCCCAGACAAGAGUUGCAUCACCUCGGUGAUCAGUGCACAGAUAUGUCUCAAUGCCCCCUGUCGACAAAGCCUAUACAAGAGUUACAUCAUCUCGGUGAUCAGUGCAGUGCUAUGUGAAAAUGCCCCUGUAGGCAGAGCCUAGACAAGAGUUACAUCACCUGGGUGAUCAGUGAAGAGAUAUGUCAUAAAUCCCACUGUAGGCAAAGCCUAGACAAGUUUUACAUCACCUCAGCGAUCAGUGCAGUGAUAGCUCCCAAUGUCCCUCUAGGCAGAGCUUAGACAAGAGUCACAUCUCCUGGGUGAUCAGUGCAGAGAUAAGUCACACUGCCCCCAUUGGCAGAGCCUAGAGAAGAGUUAUAUGACUGGGGUGAUCCGUGCAGAGUGAUAUCACAACGCCCUCUGUAGCCACAGAGUAGAAAAUAGUUACAUCACCUGGGUGAUCAGUGCAGAGAUAUGUCACAAUGCCCCUGUAGGUAGAGCAUAGAGAACAGUUGCAUCACCUGGGUGAUCAGUGCAGAAAUAUGUGACAAUGCCUCCAGUAGGCAGA